This 503-nucleotide ribosomal RNA is filed under the name uncultured Sphingobacteriales bacterium. RNAcentral's name for it is "bacterial SSU rRNA". It matches the Rfam family "Bacterial small subunit ribosomal RNA", at positions 903 to 1382 of the family's 1533-position model. The record is from RNAcentral. Lineage: Bacteria; Pseudomonadati; Bacteroidota; Sphingobacteriia; Sphingobacteriales.
CGCCUUGCCAGCCCGCUCAGAAACUUAAAGGAAGUUGACGGGGGCCCGCACAAGCGGUGGAGCAUGUGGUUUAAUUCGAUGAUACGCGAGGAACCUUACCUGGGCUCAAAUGUAUGUUGACGUAUUCUGAAAGGGAUACUUCUUCGGACAAUAUACAAGGUGCUGCAUGGUUGUCGUCAGCUCGUGCCGUGAGGUGUCGGGUUAAGUCCCAUAACGAGCGCAACCCCUAUCAUUAGUUGCCAUCAGGUCAAGCUGGGGACUCUAAUGAAACUGCCUACGCAAGUAGUGAGGAAGGUGGGGAUGACGUCAAAUCAGCACGGCCCUUACGUCCAGGGCUACACACGUGCUACAAUGGCCGGUACAAAGGGCAGCUACCUGGUGACAGGAUGCUAAUCUCAAAAGCCGGUCUCAGUUCGGAUCGGAGUCUGCAACCCGACUCCGUGAAGUCGGAAUCGCUAGUAAUCGUGAAUCAGAAUGUCACGGUGAAUACGUUCCCGGGCCUU